RNAcentral lists this ribosomal RNA (475 nucleotides) under uncultured bacterium. RNAcentral's name for it is "SSU rRNA". It matches the Rfam family "Bacterial small subunit ribosomal RNA", at positions 26 to 518 of the family's 1533-position model. The record is from RNAcentral.
AGGACGAACGCUGGCGGCGUGCUUAACACAUGCAAGUCGAGCGGUAAGGCUCCUUCGGGAGUACACGAGCGGCGAACGGGUGAGUAACACGUGAGCAAUCUGCCCUCCACACUGGGAUAACCUUCGGAAACGAGGACUAAUACCGGAUACGACCACUUCAGACAUCUGAUGGUGGUGGAAAGCUCCGGCGGUGGAGGAUGAGCUCGCGGCCUAUCAGCUUGUUGGUGAGGUAACGGCUCACCAAGGCUUCGACGGGUAGCCGGCCUGAGAGGGUGACCGGCCACACUGGGACUGAGACACGGCCCAGACUCCUACGGGAGGCAGCAGUGGGGAAUAUUGGACAAUGGGCGAAAGCCUGAUCCAGCAACGCCGCGUGAGGGAUGACGGCCUCGGUUGUAACCGUCUUCAGCAGGACGAAGCGCAAGUGACGGUACCGUGCAGAAGAAGCACCGGCCAACUACGUGCCAGCAGCCGC